UUGAACUUUAAUUUUCUGUUUUUGCUUCCUUGUAAGGACCGGCGUGAAGUCUUCAGUAGCUGACCUUGCAUCAUAUUCACGAACUCUGUCCCAUAGAUCAAGACUGUGUUGAAUGUUUUUGCUGGGAUGUACAUGUUGUUGUUGUAAAACGACAACCUCUUGCUCCUCUGGUAUUGUCAUGCUAGCACUAGCCACAAGAGACCUCUCUACAACGACCAGUGACGCCAAGGAAGGGCGUGACCCAGAAUGAACUUCAACUUGCUCAACAAUAGUAUCUGUAU
RNAcentral lists this long non-coding RNA (281 nucleotides) under Medicago truncatula (barrel medic). Its description in RNAcentral is "long non-coding RNA (MTRU_LNC001556)". Lineage: Eukaryota; Viridiplantae; Streptophyta; Magnoliopsida; Fabales; Fabaceae. The record is from RNAcentral.